RNAcentral lists this unclassified non-coding RNA (456 nucleotides) under Hevea brasiliensis (rubber tree). Lineage: Eukaryota; Viridiplantae; Streptophyta; Magnoliopsida; Malpighiales; Euphorbiaceae. The record is from RNAcentral.
GAACCUUCUCCUUACCCAUUUUCUAGCACUGAUCCAAAAUUGCCAAAUUCGAGUUAAUUAUUGGACAACAAAAACGCAAAACCAUCAAUAAUCUUCACCGACUUACCUAAAAUUACAUAAUUUUAACAACUAAUGAUAUGAUUCAAAUCUGCUAAUUUAAGCUCAUAAUUCACAUCCUAUUGAUCUCAUCUCAUAGAUCUAUACAGCACAACACAUAAACCUAAACAAGUCUAAUAUAAUAAAUCAAAUCAGAUAUAUCAAAGACAAGCUAAACUACUGUACACGCUAUAUUUGGGAGCUCAUAACGCAAAAGCUACUGAAGAUAGAGAUAAACAGAUCUAAGAAUCGACCAUGGCAAGAGAAGUUAAGUGAUUAACGAGGCUAAAUCGAUUUACCUGAAAAGAAGAUAAACGAGGCAGCUACGAGAUGGCCGCAGCAGAGCAGGGCGAGCGAGAG